RNAcentral lists this ribosomal RNA (497 nucleotides) under uncultured bacterium. Its description in RNAcentral is "partial 16S ribosomal RNA". It matches the Rfam family "Bacterial small subunit ribosomal RNA", at positions 28 to 507 of the family's 1533-position model. The record is from RNAcentral.
GAUGAACGCUGGCGGCGUGCCUAAUACAUGCAAGUCGAGCGCACGGACGAGAAGCUUGCUUCUCUGAUGUUAGCGGCGGACGGGUGAGUAACACGUGGAUAACCUACCUAUAAGACUGGGAUAACUUCGGGAAACCGGAGCUAAUACCGGAUAAUAUUUUGAACCGCAUGGUUCAAAAGUGAAAGACGGUCUUGCUGUCACUUAUAGAUGGAUCCGCGCUGCAUUAGCUAGUUGGUAAGGCAACGGCUUACCAAGGCAACGAUGCAUAGCCGACCUGAGAGGGUGAUCGGCCACACUGGAACUGAGACACGGUCCAGACUCCUACGGGAGGCAGCAGUAGGGAAUCUUCCGCAAUGGGCGAAAGCCUGACGGAGCAACGCCGCGUGAGUGAUGAAGGUCUUCGGAUCGUAAAACUCUGUUAUUAGGGAAGAACAUAUGUGUAAGUAACUGUGCACAUCUUGACGGUACCUAAUCAGAAAGCCACGGCUAACUACGUG